This 305-nucleotide ribosomal RNA is filed under the name uncultured bacterium. Its description in RNAcentral is "bacterial SSU rRNA". It matches the Rfam family "Bacterial small subunit ribosomal RNA", at positions 338 to 660 of the family's 1533-position model. The record is from RNAcentral.
CCUACGGGACGCAGCAGUGGGGGAUAUUGCACAAUGGGGGAAACCCUGAUGCAGCGACGCCGCGUGGGUGAAGAAGCGCCUCGGCGCGUAAAGCCCUGUCAGCAGGGAAGGAAAUGACGGUACCUGAAGAAGAAGCCCCGGCUAACUACGUGCCAGCAGCCGCGGUAAUACGUAGGGGGCAAGCGUUAUCCGGAUUUACUGGGUGUAAAGGGGGCGCAAACGGCGAUGCAAGCCAGGAGUGAAAGCCCGGGGCCCAACCCCGGGACUGCUCUUGGAACUGCGUGGCUAGAGUGCAGGAGGGGCAG